AUUGGAUUAUGUGGACAUUGUAUUUGUAACUGCCCAAAUCUUUCCCAUGCUUCAAAGAAUUCUUCCAUGUGUUUUUGUGUAAAAGUUUGGAUUUUGUUUCUUAACUCU
Molecule: small nucleolar RNA, 108 nt
Filed under: Thalictrum thalictroides
Lineage: Eukaryota; Viridiplantae; Streptophyta; Magnoliopsida; Ranunculales; Ranunculaceae
Description: Plant small nucleolar RNA R71
Rfam family: Plant small nucleolar RNA R71
About the family: R71 is a member of the C/D box family of snoRNAs containing the C (UGAUGA) and D (CUGA) box motifs. Multiple nearly identical copies of this snoRNA have been identified in Arabidopsis, and it is thought to function as a 2'-O-ribose methylation guide for 18S ribosomal RNA.
Source: Rfam by way of RNAcentral